Molecule: ribosomal RNA, 506 nt
Filed under: uncultured bacterium
Lineage: Bacteria
Description: partial 16S ribosomal RNA
Rfam family: Bacterial small subunit ribosomal RNA
Source: RNAcentral
AUUGAACGCUGGCGGCAGGCCUAACACAUGCAAGUCGAACGGCAGCACAGAAGAGCUUGCUCUUUGGGUGGCGAGUGGCGGACGGGUGAGUAAUGUCUGGGAAACUGCCCGAUGGAGGGGGAUAACUACUGGAAACGGUAGCUAAUACCGCAUAACGUCGCAAGACCAAAGUGGGGGACCUUCGGGCCUCACACCAUCGGAUGUGCCCAGAUGGGAUUAGCUAGUAGGUGGGGUAAUGGCUCACCUAGGUGACGAUCCCUAGCUGGUCUGAGAGGAUGAACAGCCACACUGGAACUGAGACACGGUCCAGACUCCUACGGGAGGCAGCAGUGGGGAAUAUUGCACAAUGGGCGCAAGCCUGAUGCAGCCAUGCCGCGUGUAUGAAGAAGGCCUUCGGGUUGUAAAGUACUUUCAGCGGGGAGGAAGGCGGUGAGGUUAAUAACCUUGCCGACUGACGUUACCCGCAGAAGAAGCACCGGCUAACUCCGUGCCAGCAGCCGCCGUAA